CAGUCGCCGCGGUAAUACGAAGGGUGCAAGCGUUAAUCGGAAUUACUGGGCGUAAAGCGUGCGUAGGCGGGCAGGUAAGUCAGUGGUGAAAUCUUCGAGCUUAACUCGGAAACUGCCGUUGAUACUAUCUGUCUUGAAUAACGUUGAGGUGAGCGGAAUAUGUCAUGUAGCGGUGAAAUGCUUAGAUAUGACAUAGAACACCGAUUGCGAAGGCAGCUCACUAGACGCUCAUUGACGCUGAGGCACGAAAGCGUGGGGAUCAAACAGGAUUAGAUACCCCUGUAGUCCCUGUCUCUUAUAC
This 301-nucleotide ribosomal RNA is filed under the name uncultured bacterium. RNAcentral's name for it is "partial 16S ribosomal RNA". It matches the Rfam family "Bacterial small subunit ribosomal RNA", at positions 509 to 807 of the family's 1533-position model. The record is from RNAcentral.